This 450-nucleotide ribosomal RNA is filed under the name uncultured bacterium. RNAcentral describes it as "partial 16S ribosomal RNA". It matches the Rfam family "Bacterial small subunit ribosomal RNA", at positions 354 to 796 of the family's 1533-position model. The record is from RNAcentral.
GUGGGGAAUAUUGGGCAAUGGGCGAAAGCCUGAUCCAGCAAUGCCGCGUGCAGGAAGAAGGCCUUCGGGUUGUAAACUGCUUUUGUACGGAACGAAACGGUCCUGGCUAAUACCUGGGGCUAAUGACGGUACCGUAAGAAUAAGCACCGGCUAACUACGUGCCAGCAGCCGCGGUAAUACGUAGGGUGCGAGCGUUAAUCGGAAUUACUGGGCGUAAAGCGUGCGCAGGCGGUUUUGUAAGACAGGCGUGAAAUCCCCGGGCUCAACCUGGGAAUGGCGCUUGUGACUGCAAGGCUGGAGUGCGGAAGAGGGGGAUGGAAUUCCGCGUGUAGCAGUGAAAUGCGUAGAUAUGCGGAGGAACACCGAUGGCGAAGGCAAUCCCCUGGGCCUGCACUGACGCUCAUGCACGAAAGCGUGGGGAGCAAACAGGAUUAGAAACCCGUGUAGUCC